RNAcentral lists this ribosomal RNA (287 nucleotides) under uncultured soil bacterium. RNAcentral describes it as "partial 16S ribosomal RNA". It matches the Rfam family "Bacterial small subunit ribosomal RNA", at positions 26 to 310 of the family's 1533-position model. The record is from RNAcentral.
AGGAUGAACGCUGGCGGCGUGCUUAACACAUGCAAGUCGAACGAUGAAGCCGGAGCUUGCUCUGGUGGAUUAGUGGCGAACGGGUGAGUAACACGUGAGUAACCUGCCCUUGACUCUGGGAUAAGCGUUGGAAACGACGUCUAAUACCGGAUACGACGCGCGAAGGCAUCUUCUGCGCGUGGAAAGAAUUUCGGUCAAAGGAUGGACUCGCGGCCUAUCAGCUAGUUGGUGAGGUAACGGCCCACCAAGGCGACGACGGGUAGCCGGCCUGAGAGGGUGACCGGCCA